This 301-nucleotide ribosomal RNA is filed under the name uncultured bacterium. Its description in RNAcentral is "partial 16S ribosomal RNA". It matches the Rfam family "Bacterial small subunit ribosomal RNA", at positions 509 to 808 of the family's 1533-position model. The record is from RNAcentral.
CAGUCGCCACGGGAAUACGGAGGGGGCUAGCGUUGUUCGGAAUACUGGGCGUAAAGCGCACGUAGGCGGCUUGGUAAGUUAGAGGUGAAAGCCUGGAGCUCAACUCCAGAAUUGCCUUUAAGACUGCCGAACUAGCAGGUGUGAGAGGUAAGUGGAAUUCCGAGUGUAGAGGUGAAAUUCGUAGAUAUUCGGAAGAACACCAGUGGCGAAGGCGGCUUACUGGCUCAUACUGGACGCUGAGGUGCGAAAGCGUGGGGAGCAAACAGGAUUAGAUACCCCUGUAGUCCCUGUCUCUUAUACA